RNAcentral lists this ribosomal RNA (419 nucleotides) under uncultured Gammaproteobacteria bacterium. RNAcentral's name for it is "bacterial SSU rRNA". It matches the Rfam family "Bacterial small subunit ribosomal RNA", at positions 9 to 429 of the family's 1533-position model. Lineage: Bacteria; Pseudomonadati; Pseudomonadota; Gammaproteobacteria. The record is from RNAcentral.
GAGUUUGAUCUUAGCUCAGAUUGAACGCUGGCGGCACGCCUAACACAUGCAAGUCGAGCGGUAACAUGGUGUGUAGCAAUACACAUUGAUGACGAGCGGCGGACGGGUGAGGAACACGUAGGAACUUACCUUUUAGAGGGGGAUAACUAAGGGAAACUUUAGCUAAUACCGCGUAAUGUCGAAAGACCAAAGCUGCCGCAAGGUGGCGCUAAAAGAGAGGCCUGCGUCCGAUUAGCUAGUUGGUGGGGUAAAGGCCUACCAAGGCGAUGAUCGGUAACUGGUCUGAGAGGACGACCAGUCACAUUGGGACUGAGACACGGCCCAAACUCCUACGGGAGGCAGCAGUGGGGAAUCUUGGACAAUGGGGGCAACCCUGAUCCAGCGAUGCCGCGUGGGUGAAGAAGGCCUUCGGUUGUAAG